Molecule: small nucleolar RNA, 122 nt
Organism: Candoia aspera
Lineage: Eukaryota; Metazoa; Chordata; Lepidosauria; Squamata; Candoiidae
Product: small nucleolar RNA SNORA17
Exons: 1
Source: RefSeq, a predicted model, not a curated record
AUUGCAAACUGGGGAAGUGGGGUACUGAUCUGUUUUUUCCUUUCAGUUUGCAAAAAGGAAAUGGGAUGUGGAAGUCUGUGCACUGGGCUAUAAGCACUCAGAAACCUAUACAUGCUUAUUCU